CCAAGGGCACACCGGGGAUGGCAGAGGGUCGUGGGAAAGCGUUGACCCUCGUCAGGUCCCCGGGGAGCCCCUGG
Gorilla gorilla gorilla (western lowland gorilla) is the source of this 74-nucleotide microRNA precursor. NCBI's taxonomy places the organism in Eukaryota, Metazoa, Chordata, Mammalia, Primates, Hominidae. The record is from Ensembl.